GCGGGUAUGGCGAAACUGGCAAACGCGCAUGAUUCAGGUUCAUGUGGGAAACCUUACAGGUUCAAAUCCUGCUACCCGCACCA
This 83-nucleotide transfer RNA is filed under the name Clostridia bacterium. Its description in RNAcentral is "tRNA-Leu". It matches the Rfam family "tRNA". From Rfam's summary of the family: Transfer RNA (tRNA) molecules are approximately 80 nucleotides in length. Their secondary structure includes four short double-helical elements and three loops (D, anti-codon, and T loops). Lineage: Bacteria; Bacillati; Bacillota; Clostridia. The record is from RNAcentral.